UACGGAGGGUGCGAGCGUUGUCCGGAAUCAUUGGGCGUAAAGAGCGUGUAGGCGGCCAGGUAGGUCUGCUGUGAAAACUCGAGGCUCAACCUCGAGACGUCGGCGGAAACCAUCUGGCUAGAGUCCGGAAGAGGAGAGUGGAAUUCCUGGUGUAGCGGUGAAAUGCGCAGAUAUCAGGAAGAACACCCGUGGCGAAGGCGGCUCUCUGGGACGGUACUGACGCUGAGACGCGAAAGCGUGGGGAGCGAACAGG
This 253-nucleotide ribosomal RNA is filed under the name uncultured bacterium. RNAcentral describes it as "partial 16S ribosomal RNA". It matches the Rfam family "Bacterial small subunit ribosomal RNA", at positions 524 to 776 of the family's 1533-position model. The record is from RNAcentral.